This 571-nucleotide ribosomal RNA is filed under the name Neofusicoccum sp. GS4_1_4. RNAcentral's name for it is "eukaryotic LSU rRNA". The stretch from base 209 to 362 matches the Rfam family "5.8S ribosomal RNA". The record is from RNAcentral. Lineage: Eukaryota; Fungi; Ascomycota; Dothideomycetes; Botryosphaeriales; Botryosphaeriaceae.
AAGCUCGUAGUGACCUGCGGAGGAUCAUUACCGAGUUGAUUCGAGCUCCGGCUCGACUCUCCCACCCCAUGUGUACCUACCUCUGUUGCUUUGGCGGGCCGCGGUCCUCCGCACCGACCCCCGUUCGGGGGCCGGCCAGCGCCCGCCAGAGGACCACAAAACUCCAGUCAGUAAACGUCGCAGUCUGAGAAACAAGUUAAUAAACUAAAACUUUCAACAACGGAUCUCUUGGUUCUGGCAUCGAUGAAGAACGCAGCGAAAUGCGAUAAGUAAUGUGAAUUGCAGAAUUCAGUGAAUCAUCGAAUCUUUGAACGCACAUUGCGCCCCUUGGUAUUCCGAGGGGCAUGCCUGUUCGAGCGUCAUUUCAACCCUCAAGCUCUGCUUGGUAUUGGGCUCCGUCCUCCGCGGACGCGCCUCGAAGACCUCGGCGGUGGCGUCUUGCCUCAAGCGUAGUAGAAAACACCUCGCUUUGGAGCGCACGGCGUCGCCCGCCGGACGAACCUUUGAAUUUUUCUCAAGGUUGACCUCGGAUCAGGUAGGGAUACCCGCUGAACUUAAGCAUAUCAAAAAG